UAUGUAAACGAGAUGCAUUUGAUAGCAAAAUAAAAAGAUGUUGCUGUUUUUCACUCAAACUCCCAAUCCAAACCCUUCCAAGUUUCUGUAUUUCUCUCAGCUUUGGUGGACCUAAUUUCCUUGGCUCACAUUCACCUCUCCAAAACAUCUAAGCAACCAGAUCAAUGCAUCCACAUGGCACAAAGAGAGCCACAAUAUCACUACAAAAUAUAAGCUUGGGAAUCCACAUACUAAUUCACCACCAAUAAGAUGUUGCUGACUUGUGCAUAUCCUAAUCUACAAUAUCUUAUGAUUUCCACCGUGGCCACUCCCAACACUUCUAUAAACCUUUGUAUCCUUUCUUCAUUCUUCACAACAACACUAGCUUAUACCACUAAAGAGAACAAACAUCAAGAAACCUCAACGCCCUCAUGGCCACCUCUGCAAUCCAACAAUCAGCAUUCACUGGAAAGACUGGUUUGAAACAAGGAAAUGAGUUCAUCAGGAAAGCUGGUAGCUUUGGCCAAAGUCGCUUCACCAUGCGUCGUACUGUGAAGAGUGCUCCUGAAAGCAUUUGGUAAGUAGUUCAAUUACAGUCAAAAUUAGCUUAAAAUACAAUAAGUUAUAGUUUUUAACACUCCUUUAUCUCAUUAUGACUCUUAAGAACAUAAUAACUAAAUCUUAGCAACUUGGGCCAGACCCAAAAGCCAGUGAUUAUGCAUGUGUAAUGAAGUAAAUUAAAUGAAAUCAAAUCAAAUGUUAAUAACUAACUGGUGAUACAGCUACAUAAAGUUAUUAUGUUAUCUUGUAAAGAUCAAAUCAGAAGCAACGUCAUGUGCUAAUAUUUGAAGUAAGGUUAUGAUAAUUUGUUUUCAUAUAUUUGACUUGGUAUGAUCUGUUUUGAAAACCAGGUAUGGCCCAGACCGUCCCAAGUACUUGGGUCCAUUCUCUGAACAAAUUCCAUCAUACUUGACUGGUGAAUUUCCUGGUGAUUAUGGAUGGGACACAGCUGGAUUAUCAGCUGACCCUGAAACCUUUGCAAGGAACCGUGAGCUUGAAGUAAUUCACAGCAGAUGGGCCAUGCUUGGUGCAUUGGGAUGUACCUUCCCUGAGAUCCUUGAGAAGAACGGUGUUAAAUUCGGUGAGGCUGUGUGGUUUAAGGCUGGUGCCCAGAUCUUCUCUGAGGGUGGCCUUGACUAUUUGGGCAACCCAAACCUGAUCCAUGCUCAGAGCAUUCUUGCAAUCUGGGCUACUCAGGUUGUGCUCAUGGGAUUUGUUGAAGGCUACAGAGUUGGUGGAGGACCACUUGGUGAAGGACUGGACCCACUUUACCCUGGUGGUGCCUUUGACCCUCUUGGUCUUGCUGAUGACCCCGAU
This 1356-nucleotide long non-coding RNA is filed under the name Medicago truncatula (barrel medic). Its description in RNAcentral is "long non-coding RNA (MTRU_LNC003719)". Lineage: Eukaryota; Viridiplantae; Streptophyta; Magnoliopsida; Fabales; Fabaceae. The record is from RNAcentral.